This 22-nucleotide microRNA is filed under the name Homo sapiens (human). Its description in RNAcentral is "hsa-miR-4511". The record is from miRBase by way of RNAcentral. Lineage: Eukaryota; Metazoa; Chordata; Mammalia; Primates; Hominidae.
GAAGAACUGUUGCAUUUGCCCU